UUAAAUUGAAGAGUUUGAUCAUGGCUCAGAUUGAACGCUGGCGGCAGGCUUAACACAUGCAAGUC
RNAcentral lists this ribosomal RNA (65 nucleotides) under Glaesserella parasuis. Its description in RNAcentral is "partial 16S ribosomal RNA". It matches the Rfam family "Bacterial small subunit ribosomal RNA", at positions 1 to 63 of the family's 1533-position model. Lineage: Bacteria; Pseudomonadati; Pseudomonadota; Gammaproteobacteria; Pasteurellales; Pasteurellaceae. The record is from RNAcentral.